AAACUUUCAACAAAGGAUCUCUUGGCUCUCGCAUCGAUGAAGAACGCAGCGAAGCGCGAAAUGUAGUGUGAAUCGCAGAACAUUGUGAAUCAUCGAAUCUUCGAACGCACAUUGCGCCUCCUGUAACAGGGAGGCAUGCCUGUCUGAGUCUCAUUU
Molecule: ribosomal RNA, 156 nt
Filed under: uncultured Atheliaceae
Lineage: Eukaryota; Fungi; Basidiomycota; Agaricomycetes; Atheliales; Atheliaceae
Description: 5.8S ribosomal RNA
Rfam family: 5.8S ribosomal RNA
About the family: 5.8S ribosomal RNA (5.8S rRNA) is a component of the large subunit of the eukaryotic ribosome. It is transcribed by RNA polymerase I as part of the 45S precursor that also contains 18S and 28S rRNA. Functionally, it is thought that 5.8S rRNA may be involved in ribosome translocation.
Source: RNAcentral